CGCACACGUCCUACGGGAGAAAGCAGGGGACCUUCGGGCCUUGCGCUAUCAGAUGAGCCUAGGUCGGAUUAGCUAGUUGGUGAGGUAAUGGCUCACCAAGGCGACGAUCCGUAACUGGUCUGAGAGGAUGAUCAGUCACACUGGAACUGAGACACGGUCCAGACUCCUACGGGAGGCAGCAGUGGGGAAUAUUGGACAAUGGGCGAAAGCCUGAUCCAGCCAUGCCGCGUGUGUGAAGAAGGUCUUCGGAUUGUAAAGCACUUUAAGUUGGGAGGAAGGGCAGUUACCUAAUACGUGAUUGUUUUGACGUUACCGACAGAAUAAGCACCGGCUAACUCUGUGCCAGCAGCCGCGGUAAUACAGAGGGUGCAAGCGUUAAUCGGAAUUACUGGGCGUAAAGCGCGCGUAGGUGGUUUGUUAAGUUGGAUGUGAAAUCCCCGGGCUCAACCUGGGAACUGCAUCCAAAACUGGCAAGCUAGAGUAUGGUAGAGGGUGGUGGAAUUUCCUGUGUAGCGGUGAAAUGCGUAGAUAUAGGAAGGAACACCAGUGGCGAAGGCGACCACCUGGACUGAUACUGACACUGAGGUGCGAAAGCGUGGGGAGCAAACAGGAUUAAAACCCCGGGGAAAAAACUAAAGCUUCUGAUCCUAAGCUGGUGUCUCAUCCCCGAUUAUAGACCCUGUAAAUCUA
RNAcentral lists this ribosomal RNA (690 nucleotides) under bacterium. RNAcentral's name for it is "bacterial SSU rRNA". It matches the Rfam family "Bacterial small subunit ribosomal RNA", at positions 170 to 810 of the family's 1533-position model. The record is from RNAcentral.